UACGUAGGUGGCAAGCGUUGUCCGGAUUUACUGGGCGUAAAGGGCGUGCAGGCGGUUUGUUAAGUGCAGGGUGAAAGCUCCCGGCUCAACUGGGAGAGGUCCUUGCAUACUGGCAAACUCGAGGGAGGCAGAGGAAAGUGGAAUUCCCGGUGUAGUGGUGAUAUGCGUAGAUAUCGGGAGGAACACCUGUGGCGAAGGCGGCUUUCUGGGCCGGAACUGACGCUGAGG
This 228-nucleotide ribosomal RNA is filed under the name uncultured bacterium. RNAcentral describes it as "partial 16S ribosomal RNA". It matches the Rfam family "Bacterial small subunit ribosomal RNA", at positions 524 to 751 of the family's 1533-position model. The record is from RNAcentral.